CUCUGCCCCUCAGCGCAGGCACCGCGCUCCACCGCUGGAUUCUGUUCACAAGCACCAAAAAAGGAAGAAAAAGUCCCUGAAUUUACUUAUUCAGCAGCUGUUUUAUGUCUCCUUUAGGCUUUUUUUUUCUGUUGUUAUUUUUGUUUUGGUUUAAAGUUAAGUAAAGCAGUUCCAAGCCAGGAUUGGUACCUAGUUAACCACGACAGAUUACAAGUUCUUUGGAAGAGGCCACACAUCUGUUAGAGGGUUUGGACAGUGCUUAGCUUAACUAUUUGAGUCUUCAUAGCGCCUCAGGGCAAUCACAUAAUAUAUAUAACCCAUUUCACCACUGCACUAAAGUGUGUGCAUGAGCAGUGGCAGCCUGGCAAUGCCAUGUUGGGACAAGCAGUGUGUUCCUUGCUCUGCUAUCCGCCUGUGUUUUAUGAGAAGCCUGAAGCAAGGAGACUCCAAUUAGUGUAUCAUGUGGGGCUGUGACUAAGUGAGAUUAUUUCUCCCUUAUCUAGGCUAAAGGGAAGUAGUAGCUUAACACACUCUCAUUAUUGCCAAAGGUCUUUAAAAGGAACCAGCAUGUACAAGAAAAUUGCCUACUGACAUUCUUUGGAUUUUGCAAAUUCAGGGAUUUAAGGCCAUGAGUGACUAUGGUGAUUAUCUCGCUGGACCUCCCUUGCAAAAGCCAUAAAAGCUCAAAGCCUUGAGCAUUUAAUUUGGAGAAGCUCUUGGCAGUUUGAGACCUUCAAAAGAUGGAGAACUGCCAUAUCCUUUGGUAAGCUGUUCCCACAGUCCACAUUACAAAGUGUACCUGGCUACUUGUUACAAGGUAAAACUAAACUGCAUUCUAAAACACAGGGGGAUGGGGGGGAAAAGAGCAAAUUAAAGUUUCAGCCCACAGGAUCCCCAUAAGCACUGAUUGUAGAGUUUCAUAUCUACAUUCAAGUCACACAUGCAGGUGUACCAGCUGUCCCUAAAAGGUAUGUUAACACAUGACACACUCGCCUGCAUUUUCCAAGUGAAAUAAGGACGAUCCAUGGAUUCUGUUGUCCUUCAUUCCACCGGAGUCUGUCUCAUACCUAACCAGAUUUCAGUGGAGUGAAGCACAAGAGACAUGGAGAUGAAUCAGCAACAAGAGCAACUGCUUCUCACUGACAGAGAAGGGGAACUGCAUGGAAGUUUGGAUACACCAUGGAUCCAAACAAAGCGGGUGUGCUGGGACACGGAGAGCAGCAGUACACCAGCAGUUCAGUAACCUGAGCAUUUCUUGAACAGCUACAGUAAGAACCCAUUUUAAGAAUGUACUUACUUUCUGCAUAAUAUGUAAAGAUUAAAAGCCUACAAAGACCACAA
Melopsittacus undulatus (budgerigar) is the source of this 1341-nucleotide long non-coding RNA. RefSeq lists it as uncharacterized. The transcript is spliced from 2 exons. NCBI's taxonomy places the organism in Eukaryota, Metazoa, Chordata, Aves, Psittaciformes, Psittaculidae. The record is from RefSeq and is a predicted model, not a curated record.